GGCAGCUGGGAAAAGCUCUGCCACACCGUCCGUAACGAGCCCAGAAGAUCCGAACCCACGCGAGUUAGACCCUCCUUCAGCUCUGUUACAGAUGGAAGAUGUUGUAGAAGCUCCUGCAGGUGGGGAAGCUGUAGUUGGGGUGGAUCCUCUUCAGCCCUCUGACUGUCAGGAACAUUCCUAUGGGUGAUCCGAAGGCGAAGAAGGCCUGCGGGUGGAACACCAGCUGGGGGUAAUCGAUCGACACCUGCAGGACAGAGCAGGACUCCUCUUUUAAAAGCCUGAAUUGAACAUUUUUCUUUUACUGGACUUUUGACAUCUGUAAGAUUUCUUAUGUGGAGCUAAAUCAUGCAAUCAAAAUACGCAGACCUCAUAAGGUCUGUACUCUACAACUCUGUAGAGUACUCUACUGUAUUCUACAACCCUGUAGAAUACUCCACUGUACUCUACUCUACUGUACUCUACUGUAUUCUACAACCCUGUAGAUUACUCUAUUGUACUCUACUCUACCACUCUGUAGAUUACUCUACUCUACGCUACAUAGUUAUAACAUCACAGUUCUGUAUAUAAUUUUCUGUAGUUCAGCAGAUCAAACUAAAGUUCCAAAUAAAAAAAAUAAUCAAAUCAUUAA
Long non-coding RNA from Astyanax mexicanus (Mexican tetra), 628 nucleotides. RefSeq lists it as uncharacterized. The record is from RefSeq and is a predicted model, not a curated record. The transcript is spliced from 2 exons. Lineage: Eukaryota; Metazoa; Chordata; Actinopteri; Characiformes; Acestrorhamphidae.